RNAcentral lists this ribosomal RNA (400 nucleotides) under phytoplankton environmental sample. RNAcentral describes it as "partial small subunit ribosomal RNA". It matches the Rfam family "Eukaryotic small subunit ribosomal RNA", at positions 587 to 982 of the family's 1831-position model. The record is from RNAcentral.
AGCUCCAGUAGCGUAUAUUAAAGUUGUUGCAGUUAAAAAGCUCGUAGUUGGAUUUCUGGUACGCUGCGCCUGAGCCGCCAGCUUUAAGCUGUGUGUGUCUCGGAGCGCGGUUGCCAUCCUUCUAGAAAACGUUUCUACCCUUCGCUGGGCCGGAUCCGCAAUCUAGAUCUUUUACUUUGAAAAAAUUAGAGUGUUUAAAGCAGGCUUAUGCUAUGAAUACAUUAGCAUGGAAUAAUAAUAUAGGACUUUGGUUCUAUUUUGUUGGUUUCUAGAACUAAAGUAAUGAUUGAUAGGGAUAGUUGGGGGUGCUAGUAUUCAGCGGCCAGAGGUGAAAUUCUUGGAUUCGCUGAAGACUAACUUAUGCGAAAGCAUUCACCAAGGAUGUCUUCUUUAAUCAAGA